AGUGAACGCUGGCGGCAGGCCUAACACAUGCAAGUCGAACGGCAGCACAGUAAGAGUUUGCUCUUACGGGUGGCGAGUGGCGGACGGGUGAGGCAUACAUCGGAAUCUACUUUUUCGUGGGGGACAACGUAGGGAAACUUACGCUAAUACCGCAUACGACCUACGGGUGAAAGCAGUGGAUCUUCGGACCUUGCGCGACUGAAUGAGCCGAUGUCGGAUUAGCUAGUUGGCGGGGUAAAGGCCCACCAAGGCGACGAUCCGUAGCUGGUCUGAGAGGAUGAUCAGCCACACUGGAACUGAGACACGGUCCAGACUCCUACGGGAGGCAGCAGUGGGGAAUAUUGGGCAAUGGGCGCAAGCCUGAUCCAGCCAUGCCGCGUGAGUGAAGAAGGCCUUCGGGUUGUAAAGCCCUUUUGUUGGGAAAGAAAAACAGCGGGUUAAUACCCCGCUGUUCUGACGGUACCCAAAGAAUAAGCACCGGCUAACUUCGUG
Molecule: ribosomal RNA, 492 nt
Filed under: uncultured bacterium
Lineage: Bacteria
Description: partial 16S ribosomal RNA
Rfam family: Bacterial small subunit ribosomal RNA
Source: RNAcentral